CUGGAUCUCAGUGGAUCGUGGCAGCAAGGCCACUCUGCCACUUACAAUGCCCCGUCGCGUUUUAAGUCGUCUGCAAAGGAUUCAGCACGCCGCCCGUUGGGAAGGGAGCUUCGAGGCGGCCCGCCGCGGCGCGUCGGCCGGGCGGGCUGGGCCAAUGGCACGGGCCCUUGGGGCGCGAACGCCCUAACGUGGGUCAGGGCGGGCGAUGUGCCGCCCCAGCCAAACUCCCCACCUGACAAUGUCUUCUGCCCGGAUCGGCCCGGCGAGGCCGGGCCUUGGAGCCAAAAGGAGGGGCGGUGCCCCGCUUCCGACCCACGGAAUAAUUCUGAGUCGGUUGUUCGACGCCUGGGGAAGGCCCCCGAGGGGGCCGUUCCCGGUCCGUCCCCCGGCCGGCACGCGGCGGCCCGCUCUCGCCGCGCGAGCAGCUCGAGCAUUCCGCCAGCAGCCGACGGGUUCGGGGCCGGGACCCCCGAGCCCAACCCUCAGAGCCAAUCCUUUUCCUGA
RNAcentral lists this unclassified non-coding RNA (504 nucleotides) under Zea mays. Its description in RNAcentral is "misc RNA Zm00001eb263230". Lineage: Eukaryota; Viridiplantae; Streptophyta; Magnoliopsida; Poales; Poaceae. The record is from RNAcentral.